Molecule: long non-coding RNA, 3014 nt
Organism: Centrocercus urophasianus (Greater sage-grouse)
Lineage: Eukaryota; Metazoa; Chordata; Aves; Galliformes; Phasianidae
Exons: 3
Source: RefSeq, a predicted model, not a curated record
AUAAAGUCCGUUCGCUUGUUUCAAUCACGUUCUGAUGAAAAGCAGAGGAGGUCUCUUUGUAGCUUGGUGUCCCUUCUUGUCACUGGCCCUGUUUUGUAGUAGAGUGCAGGCAUCUUGGUUGUGUGCUAGCUGUUGAGGCACUCUCUUCUCAAACCAAUUACUACAAGUAAUGACAUGCAGACUCAGAAAGAGAAUCCUGAACUUCCAGCUCUAUUUUUAACGCCAAACCCUUCAAAAGCCAUCAGUUGAUGACCUCAUGGGCAGCCUGCAGACACUGAUGGGAGGACAGCGCUCAUCCGCAGGGCACCAGGAGCUGGGACCCAGAUGGCGUGUGCUGCCAGGACGUGGAGAACUCCUGCCUACGGUUCUGGAUUAGAAAAUGCACAUUUGGAGGAGAAUCCUUAAAUGUAACUCCCCUAGAAACAAAUGGAUACAGUAUAUGACUGACGAUUACCCCUGUUCGGACCAGCAGCUUCCACACCAAAAUCCAAGGUACCACUGGCAGAGUUAUACCUGGCCACUGUUGACUAUUGGGAGUCAACAACCUUCACUACAGUCUCACACCCCAGAGGGAUGGCAGUGAAGAAAAGUGGCAGCAGCCAUGCUACCCACGCCUGCCUUGCACAGUCAUUCCUGUACUUCGUGUGGAGCUGCCUUGUCUGCAGGGUCUACGCAUACCCAGUGCUAUGACUUCCUGAAAGAUGUAGUUCUGUUCAAUGGUUUGAAUUGAAAAAGUGCUGACUUGCAUAGAAACUGCACUUUUUUCCCCUACUUUUCUGUAACAUUUCUUUAUCCAUCUUUUCUCAGUGUAAGGACUGAUAUUUCUGGCCAGAAAGCCUUACACAACCAAGUCUAUAACUGCAAUGGGCUGGAGUUGAGUGAAAAUCACAGGUUUGCCUAAAAGCAAUAUUUCCCACAUCUGUGAUGUGGCCUAGAUUAUUGCAGAUAGAGUGAAGUCUGCCACUGUACAUCUCUGAACUUCUUUGCGAAGGGUCCACUUGGCAAUUUUUGCUCUUCACCACCCUAGAAACGUGUAAAUGUUUAUUACCAGCAAGCUGCAGUUCAUGGUUUAUCUUGUGGUUAACAGGGUUUAACUUGUGAUACCAGGUUUGCAGUAUUUGAUGGGAAGGGGCAGGUGCAUUGCUGCUUGAAGGUGGCUGGGAUUUCCCUCUUCUUUCACUGGGUGCACCUCAAGUCUGGAGGGGGCUAGAUGGACAAGUGCUCCUUUUUAGCCCUUGGCAAGUAGCGUUCUCACGUUUUCAAAAGCACAGAUCACCACAAAUGCUCAGUGUUGUAGAAGAGUGGGACCUCAUGAAAGCCGUGGCCCGAAGCAACGACUAAUUAAUGUUAUCUCAGCACUGCUGUAUGUGUGUGUGUGCCUUCCACACUGCUUGCCGGCUCCAGCUCACUUGUUGAGUGUGAGAAGGAUGUAUGAGAGCAUGAGAAAUCAAACCUAGUUUGCGACUAAUAGAUCUGAUAGGGAUCCCUAAGUAGUGAUCAUACAGCAGAUUGAGAUCCCUCUCAGGAGUUUAAGAACAUAAACAUGAAAAAUAGCCUUAUUCUUUGUGGUCUCCUGGUUGAAGUUCUUCUGACAGUAAGCCAAGAAAAGUGUUACUAAUUUAAUGCGAGACUAUUUAAUAGCAGAACUUUCAUCUGCCUUGCACCUGUAUGCUAUGGAAGUCUAAAGCAUAUUGUAGCUAGAAAAUGGGUGUUUGUCUCUUUCCUUCUGAGCCAAUGCCACUGAAAGGAGCUUGUUGGCUCAUUCCAGCUAAGGAGCGCUGUGUUGAAUAGAAAUUAGUAUGCUGUGGAAAGCAUCACUCUGUCUGCACUGAGAUGUUUUUGGAUCUUUGCAGAAUAUGCUGCUUUCAUUGCAGUUUAAAACACUUUUCCAUGGUAUAAUCACCUCUUUAUUGUUGUUACCUGUUUAAGGCUAUUUGGUCACUGUUACAGAAGGUUUGUGAAGGUCUGAAACUGCUGACAUAAAGAAGGCCUGAAAGGAAAGCCACGGCUCUUGCAAUCUCUAUCAUCUCAAAACCCAAACCCAGGUUUUCAAGGCAAUGCCAUGCAUGUAGCCAGAUGGAAGCAUCAAAGCCCAUUGCCCUUGGGCCCAUUUGUUCCCAUCCUGCAUUGGCAGUACCCUGUGGGCACAUUAAAUUCCUCAACUCCAAGAGAAAGAAGCCAGAUGUUGCUGUCCACAAAGAACGUCUCCUGUGCUCAUUUACUGCUAGGUUGAUGAGCAAAACUGCCUGUGAAAGAAGCAGACAUAAAAUAAGAGGUAAAUCAUUUUCUCUUAAAACUAAGUGGAUCUUAGCUAACAGUUAUUCUGGGAUUCCGUAGGGAAAAAGAGAGUAGAAUCAAUGAUUCAAUGUGUUUCAUUGAUGUCUGUUGUCUUUGCACUCCAGGAUUUCCCCAUUGCAGCUGGUGUAAUGCUGAGUUACCACUACAUUUUUACUGUUUUCAGACCAACGUGUUUUCAAGUGUGCUUUAAUGUUCGGUUGAGCACGUAUCAAAGAAUUGCAGAGGAAUGAGACCAGCUCUGACACCACACAGAACAAUUAACAUGAGUGGUGCUGCUCAAGGGACAAGGGUGUGUUGAGGCACGAGCCGAGGCUGGUUUUUCAUACUGGUGUUGUCUCAGCUGGACGAUGGCAAUUAGUGUGCCUGUAGCACACAUGUUGGCUUAGCUUGGUGGGGUUUUUUUUGAAGUUUCUGCACAAAUUGCUCUUGCCACAACCAAAGCGCACUGUCAGGGUGCAUAUUUCAAUGCACGCCACCCAGUCUGUGUCCCCUCAUCUUGGCACUGAGAUCCCUGGGUAUGAGAAUGAGAACGUCAACCUUGCUGCUGCCAUAAUGAAUCCUGAGAAAUCCCAGAGCAUCAGAGUCCCGGAUUUAAUCACUGAGGUGUUUAAUGUGGAGAUGCCAUGGGUGCUGCUCAGAAAUAGAAAGUACCCAAGAGGAACUACUCAGACUUGACCAAAUAAAUAAAUAAUAAAAAGAAAGUUGAAGAAAAUGCU